UUGACAACACUAGAGACUGAAUUCCUCUAUUUAUCAACAGAAAGUUACAGCACAGAAAGCAACUGCAAGCUUCAUCACAAUGCCCUGCUACCAUGCCUGAACUCUGACCUAGAAGGACAUCUAGGUGAGUCUCUACAGACAUUCAGUCCUUAAACUCU
RNAcentral lists this small RNA (158 nucleotides) under Chrysemys picta bellii (western painted turtle). Its description in RNAcentral is "TUC338 (ENSCPBG00000020933.1)". Lineage: Eukaryota; Metazoa; Chordata; Testudines; Emydidae. The record is from RNAcentral.